AUGAACCACCAGCCAGAAAACAUGGAGAAUGCUCUCACCGGGAGCCAGAGCUCCCAUGCUUCUCUGUGAGACAUCCAUUCCAUCAACCCCACACAACUCAUGGCCAGGAUUGAGUCUUAUGAAGGAAGGGAAAAGAAAGGCAUAUCUGAUGUCAGGAGGACUUUCUGUUUGUUUGUCACCUUUGACCUCUUAUUUGUAACAUUACUGUGGAUAAUAGAAUCAAAUGUCAAUGGAGGCAUUGAGAAAACAUUAGAGAAAAAGGUGAUGCAGUAUGACUACUAUUCUUCAUAUUUUGAUAUAUUUCUUUUGGCUGUUUUUUGAUUUAAAAUAUUAAUACUUGCAUACGCUGUGUGCAGGCUGCCCAUUGGUGGGCAAUAGCAUUGACAACGGCAGUGACCAGUGCCUUUUUACUAGCAAAAGUGAUCCUUUCAAAGCUUUUCUCUCAAGGGGCUUUUGGCUAUGUGCUGCCCAUCAUUUCAUUCAUCCUUGCUUGGAUCGAGAUGUGUGGUUCCUGGAUUUCAAAGUGUUACCUCAAGGAGCAGAAGAAAACAGACUCCUGAUAGUUCAGGAUGCUUCAGAGAGGGAAGCACUUAUACCUGGUGGUCUUUCUGAUGGUCUCCACCGCGCCCGGCUUUAUUCCCUUUCUGAAUCUGAAGCAGGAUCUGAUGAAGCUGAAGAAAAACUGGACAGUGAGAAACCACUUUUAGAACUAUGAGUACUACUUUUGUUAAAUGUGAAAAACCCUCACAGAAAGUCAUCGGAGGCAAAAAGAGGCUAGCAAUGGAGUCUCCCUGUUGACAAUAAAAUGGUAAUGUCCACUGCUGACUUUAUUGAACAGCUAAUAAAGAUUUAUUUAUUGUAAUACCUCGCAGACAUUGUACCAUAUCCAUGCACAUUUAGUCGCCUGCCUAUGGCCGGCAAGGUAAUGUCAUGGUUCCUCCUCUCUGCAGUGAGACUGGGUCUGAUGUGU
This is a non-coding RNA of Saimiri boliviensis boliviensis (Bolivian squirrel monkey), 970 nucleotides long. NCBI's taxonomy places the organism in Eukaryota, Metazoa, Chordata, Mammalia, Primates, Cebidae. The record is from RefSeq and is a predicted model, not a curated record.